This 43942-nucleotide long non-coding RNA is filed under the name Pelobates cultripes (western spadefoot toad). The record is from RNAcentral. Lineage: Eukaryota; Metazoa; Chordata; Amphibia; Anura; Pelobatidae.
CUGCACUCCAAGUGCCUAGUCUCCUUGACUAUCUGGAGAGAACAGCCUCUCUCUCCUACCUGCUUCCUGGGAGGAAGCCAGCAAUCCCUCUCCUUUACCUGCCUAGCAGGUUGGAGUUUAUUCCCACUGCAACAGCUCAUUAACUGCAGCUGAGCAGUGGGUUGGAGAGGAUCCAAAAAACCCUGGCCUGGAUCCAUGUCUCCCCAGAAAACCACUAAACUGUGGAGUGGAGCAUUGACCCACCCUUCUCUCCAAAUGCUCCACCACAGGGGCCCAUAACUAAACAGCGUUUUGUGUUGCCUACAACACAUCCUACACAUACUCCCCCUGGGGUUAAAAGGCCUAUCUGCCUUCACUUUAUCACAAUAUAUAUAUAAUGUAUAUGUAAUACAUUCUCACGAUAUUAGAUGGAAUAUUUACAGAUAAUCAACCCCUAGUUUCCAAAGUAUUAAGUCUAUGUAUCCAAAAGGUUUCUCUCUGGGACAAUUUCUUAACCCUAUCUCCUCCACACCAGAAAGGUAAGACCUUUUCGAUGUCUUUACAUUUAAGGUCCCCAAAAUAAAAAACAGGGCAGCUGUUACAAUGAACUGGAACAGAAUGGGUUGUGAGAUUUUUUUCUUUUGUUAUUCAGAUGUUCCAGUAAUUUGACCUUUAGGGGACGUUUUGUACGGCCCACAUAUUGUUUGCCACAUGGACACUGCAGCAAAUACGCUACAUGGUCCGUGUGGCAACCUAUCUCUGUUCUGAUUUUAAACACUUCCCCUGUGACAACGCUGGAAAACUCAUUGGUUCUCUCAAUAGGUGCCGUGGUGAAGGCAUUACAUAAACCACAGUCCCUAAAGGAUCCAAGAUUCACCAUAGUAUUAUCUCUAAUAGGUUUAAUAGCAUAACUCGGGGCCAGCAUGUUCUUAAAGCUUUUAUUUAUUUUUUUAAUAUCACCGUUGGACGGUCCGAUAUACAAUUUCUCCGAACCGGGUCCUGCAAUAAAAUGGGCCAAAAAUUCUUUAGGCUUCUUUUUAUUUUAUGAUGGUCAGUGUUAUACUAGGUAACAAAAACAGAUUUAAAGUCAAUAUUAGCAGUAACCAAAGGUGGUUUAUCCUCCAACAAUGUGUUGCGCUCCAGAAGACCGAUGGAGUGAAUUUCCUUAUCUAAUGUAUUUUUGUUAUAACCCUUCUCAAGAAGUUUAUUUUUUAUAUGUAAGGAUUGGGUCUGAAAAUCCUGGAAAUCCCAACUCAUUAUCAAACAUUCGAGAGAGAUGCAAAAUAAAUUAGAAGCUGAACUGAUUGAUUUGGACUCCACCCCUUCUGUAGAUACCGAGGGGAGGGAAUUAAAGGAAAGAGAAGAGAUCCUACAUAAUAAUAUUAAAAAAAACUAGAUGAAAAAAUUGCAGAAACAAAAAAUAAAAAGUAUAGCAGAGAUAGGGAGGACAAAUUAUUAAACCCCUUCUCUACCCAUAAUAAAUUAAUAAGGAGAAAAUCACGCUCUCUCCCUCAAAAUAAGAUUAAAGGACUCCCUGAAAUAGAGUAAGAAAUAAUUCUCAUUCUAGACCAGCACCUAGGGAUCACUAUACAUUCCACUAUGAUAAUUCAACCAAUCCCCAUAGGACACCAAAUAGAGAAAGACAUGGGGUCUUUCUCUAUUUGUCCAGUAGAAUAUCUCAUGAUAGGAGGGAUACCACGAGAUACAAUGCUCAAGUUGCACGAAAUAAAACAGAUAUACAUGGAAACUCCACUCAAUAUAAUGAUCAGGAAUUAAAUUUUCAGGGGAGACCCAGAGGUCCAAAGGAAAAAUAUAUAACCAAUUACUUCUGCCCCAGAACCGAAACUUAGGAACAUCCCAACAGAUUUUCCUCUCUACACCAAGAUUAAUCAAUGCCCCAAAAAUUCAGUGUCCCCUAAGGGAAAAGGAGACUGAUAAGGGUAUCUUCAACUUAACGGGGAUAAGACUAUCAGAUGAGGAGAUUAAUUUACUAUCUAAGGGAAUGAAAUUUGCCCCUAAUAAGAUGUCAAAUUAAUUUCAUCUUUAUAUAGAUCUUAAGAAGUUUAUCCGUUCUUUGACUAUCAAAAGACACUUUCUCUUGCAUUCCUCUAGUCCACAUGUAACCACCAAUGCCGUACAAACAAAGGCUAAUUAUAAAUUCCAACCUAAAUCACACUUCUUCCCUAUCCAGAGAAAAUUUCCUUUUUUUGGAAACCUUCGAACGUAUGGUUGACCAGACAUUCCAAUCUUUUUCCACAAGGGCAAAUAAAAACUUGCGUUCCUUCAAUCUCACUAAGAGGGAAGAAAUUAUUCUGAAGAAUUUUAUGGAACGGGAUGAUCUGGUCAUUAGAGAAGCAGACAAGGGGGGUGGUAUAGGUUUGAUGACCACCUCAUAUUAUCUGAAGUCAUUUAACAUACUGGGGGAUAGAAAAACAUAUACUAUUCUUCACUGUAACCCUACUAUCUCUUUUAAUUCAGAAUUUCAGAAAAUCUUGGUUACUGCUAAAGACAGUGGGAUUAUUUCACAAAAAGAAUUUAGAUUUGUUUUUGUUUCAAAAAAUCCUGUUAUCCCUAUUUUUAAUUUUCUUCCUAAAACCCAUAAACGUCUCCCCAAUCCACCAGGUCACCUCAUCAUUAGUGGGGUAAAUUCAUUAACUGCGAAUUUGUCUGCCUAUGUGGACUCUUUUCUUCAGAAAUAUGCCCAAGGGGCACCUUCGUACAUUAGAGAUACCAAGUCCUUUUUACAGGAACUAGAAAAUAUAGAGUGGGAUCCGGAAUACAGUUGGGCAACAUUGGAUGUGACCUCCUUGUAUACUGUGAUCAGCCACGUAUCGGGAUUGGAAGCACUUGAUUACUAUAUGACCAGAGAUACUGAGUUACCUAUGAGUCAGAAGGAAUUUAUUUUAUCCUCUGUUCAAUUUAUUUUGGAGCACAAUUAUUUCUUUUUCAAUGGUGGAUAUUAUUUACAGACCACGGGGACAACCAUGGGCACCAGGUUUGCCCNNNNNNNNNNNNNNNNNNNNNNNNNNNNNNNNNNNNNNNNNNNNNNNNNNNNNNNNNNNNNNNNNNNNNNNNNNNNNNNNNNNNNNNNNNNNNNNNNNNNAAUCAAUCAAUUACUGACACCUGUCAGAUUGACUGUUCAAUAUGAUUUGGAAUCAAUUAAAUUUUUGGACGUGACAGUAUAUAAGAAAAAUGACAAACUGGAAUUCACGCUACACCGGAAAAAGACUGACCGUAAUACCUUGCUAAUGGCCUGUAGCUUUCAUCCACAACAAUUCAAACGGUCAUUACCCAUAUCUCAAUUCCUUAGAGUUCUCAGAUAUAACACAGAAAUGGAAAGAUGUGAUACUCAGAUUGAAGAGAUGUGGGAAAGAUUUAGAGAACGAGGAUAUUCAUCGCUUGUAUUAAAACUGGCCAAGACUAAAGCACUGGAAAUUUGGAACAAGGAGAGAAUCGAUCCAACAAUAAGAAAUACAUCUACUAAGUCUUCUAAACCUAGAAUUUAUCUCCCAAUGACAUCCCAUACAGGUACACCUAAAAUUAGACAAUCCAUCUACAAGCACUGGGGAAUACUUUGAUCUGAUAAAACAUUACCUGACUGGUCUCAGGAGAUGCCGAUCCAAACUACAAAAGGAACAAAGAUUUAAAGGAUCUUUUGGUGAAAAAUGAUCCAGUAGCAUGUUAUCAUAAAACCACAAUGAUUUCUAAGAAGGGAUGUUACAAAUGCAGUGGAUGUCUGACAUGUAGUCACAUGGUCAGUGGUAUGACUUUUGCACACCCACAUAGUGGUCAAAAAAUUAAAAUAUCACAUUAUAUCACUUGUACCACUGACCAUGUGAUAUAUAUGAUCACAUGUCCCUGCGGUCUCUCAUACGUGGGGAAGACUGAUUUAACAGUACGGGAUCGGAUACGAGGACAUCGGUCCACGAGUAUGAUGGCAUUUAGAGACCAACAUAGUGAUAAGCCUGUGGCUAAACAUUUUUUGACCAUGGGACAUAGAUUACCCACUCUACGGUUCACUGCCAUUGAUCAUAUCCCCCCAAUGCCAAGAGGUGGUGAUAGAUCUAAGAUGUUAUUACAACGAGAAGCCCAAUGGAUACAUCGGUUGGAUACAGUUGCCCCUAGGUGGCUGAAUGAAAAUAUUAUAUUCUCCAUGUUUUUGUGAGAUUUGGACAUAUUUUGUCCGUACAUAUAACUCUUUUUCUAUGUAUCUUUGGAUAAAUUUCUUUGUUUAUAGUCCUUGAGGUCCUUUCUGUACAAGAACAGAGCUACGAGCAUUUCAACUACUGAGAUAAUGAUUUUUAUUAGCAUUAUUAUAUAUGUUUGAUUGAGAUAAUUUUUUCCAUUUGUAAUAUGUGUCUGAUGGAUUAUUAGUAUAUAGCUCUUUAAGAAUGAGCACUAUUACUUUGAUUUAAAGGUUCACCUUUCUAACUCUGGUUUCCUUUUUGUAAAUGUUGAUAAAUACCUUUUAAGAUAACAAACAUCUGUUAGGUUAGGGUUUUGCUCUAUACUGCACUGAUUGUCUUGUUAAACUCUGUACUCUGCUUUGGCCAUAGGAGAUAUUUAGAAUAAUUAUAUGUGUUUCUUCCUUCUAUUAUUGGAUUAAUUGAUAGAAGGUAGUAUAAUAUUACACACUGGGAAUCAUGUAAUAUACAUAUGUUUUACUUGCACUGGGUUUAUUCACUGUUUAUUUUGCACUGUUAUUGAUCGAUUUUCACUUGUCACAACAUCACUUUAAUAGUAUAUAUUGCAGUGUAAAUAUCACUAGCUAUUUGUAUAUUCCACAGAACACACAUAGUUUCACAUAUUUAAUUGAUACAGCAGUGUUUUACACGCUCUUAUUAAUGAUUUGUUUCACUGGUAUCUUAGCAACCAGCUACACGUCAUCACAUCGGUAUCACGGCACAUCACGUGACCGCGGGUUCACUUCCAGGUAUGCACGGAGAGGGUGAGGCAGGCAUUUCACCAUUGGUGAGUACUUUAUUAUAUUUACUAUUUAUUGACUUUACAGAUUUGGGCACAUUGAUCUUGAGGAAGACCCUGAGGGGUCGAAACAUCGAUUUGAUUAUGUAAACCUUCUUUUUAAAUAAAUACCUGUAUAUUGAUUAUAGAAGUCCUUAGAGUGCAUCUCUUAUUUUUGUAUAUAUAUAUUAUAUAUAUAUAUUGUAUAUAUAUAUAUAUAUAUAUAUAUAUAUAUAUUGAUCUAUUCCCAUAAUUUUAAUUGACCAUAUUUUUUACUUUUUAAUUUCCCCCCAUAUAUGUUGCCCACACUAUAUUAAUGGACUAUAGGCUAAUAGAAAAAUGGCAGCUGGAUUGUGUCUAGUGACCUUUGGGGACUGCUACAUCUAUUGAGAUCUCCCAUAAUUGGAGGACUAAUAUGGCUCCCUUUGUGAAACUAAGUGGAAUAAAGAGGAAAAAAAUUAAAAAUAAAAACAAAAAAAUAAGAAAAAAAAACCCAACAACAAAAUGGCCACCAGAGCCAUGCUGCAAGCACCAAGAUGGUGGCCAUGAAGGGUGUAAGUGUCACUGUAUUAGAAUUGGCUAUUGGAGCCAAGGGAGCAUGUGUAGGCGCUCAUUCUUGUCGCCAAAUUCAAUUUAAAAGCUGGGAAUACCAUAUGGGACUUUGUAGGCACCUAAGGAAGCUGCAAGUAGCGUUGAAACGCAUUGUGAUGUGUUCUAUUACUGUGGACUUAUACUCUAUGGCACUCCAGUAACUUGAAUGUAAUAUUUUAUAUUGUCUGUUCAAUAAAUAUUGUUCAUUUUACCUUAACUGGUGUUGCCUUCUCCUGUUUCUCCUACUAUUGAGGAAAAAGAUGCCACUUACUCUGUCUGAAACUACACCUAUUCUUUUCUACCUGAGACAGUUAUUUUAACAGGCUCAGAAAAAUGUGAGUGUAAUACCGCAAGAGAAUAAUAUUAUCCAAGUAUUUACCUGUGAUUACUAUACUACCCGAUAAGAUAUUUUCUGUUUUCUCAUUUUCUGCAGGGAUAAUUAUACCAGACUUUGGGGUAUAUGUGUGCUUUUAUUAUAUCUCAUAAUACAUAUGUAUACACAUUUUAAGAGGGUUGCAUGUUACUGCACUUAUGGAUUAAGUAAGAUAUAACCCACCAUUACAAUAUAUUGUUGUGCACUGUUAUCAUUAUUUCUUUGCUGUGUAGAAUAAACAUUACUGAGUUGUACGAACCUCAUAUGUCAACUUCUCAAAGUACAAAAACCCUAAAAUGGUGUAAAAAAAAGGAGCAUAUUUGUGAUCUUCCAAACCAACUAAGCAAGGUAAGAUACCACCAAGUUCUCAAAAUAUUAUCAGAAAAAAAUUAAACAAAUAUCCUGUGUUAUAGAUUAGCAGUGAAGCCCCUAGUCCAAAUAAACCCAAAAGCAAUACAUAAAAUCAAAAUUUAUAUAGGGAUCAAUGUGUUAUACAUUUCCUUUGGAAUUGGUAUUAUUUUAAUAAAUAUAUAGAUAGUUAGGAUCAAGAACUAGAAAAGGACUAGAUUGCUCUAACACCACAAAAUUGCAGGGUAACUCUUGGAUAAAUCUACUAGAAAAAAACAGUAGCCGUAGAGAAAAUAAAAUAUAAAUGUUAAUAGAAAGAUUUAACUUAGAAUUAGGGAUUAUUCUAGCCUCGGUGAGGGAAUAAUCUAAAUUUUAUUAAAGACAGAAGGCUUCACAUUUGCUUUACCUUCUUUACUGAAACCUCCAGCAGCAAAGAAAUAGUUAACAAAACAACCAAUCAGAACAAAAUAACAGCAGUAUAAAACCACGUAGGCAGACCCUCCCACUUCCUCUUUCUUUGAUGAGGUUGAGCAGGAGAGCAAGGAAACCAACGAAUCCACCUUGUUGCAUGCAUAUCCAGAGAAACAAUAGUCAAACCCAGAGGGAAAAUAGAUUACACUACAAGAAAAAGACAACAUCGUGAAAGUAAACUGUCAAAGCAAGAUGUCAUAUGCAUACAAUAUCACUUGCACAUCAUAGUACAUGAUGAAUAAAAUGCACAUGGACAAUCACCACUGUAUAAUAGAAAUAAUCUUUAUUAUACAAGACCAUGCAUUUACAAAACAUAAUAUCCCCAAUCAAUCAUAAGAGAAAAAGACCCAAUUCCAGGGAGGGAACGUAAAGUGAGGGAAAUAUUCGCCUCCUGUCUUUAAUAAAAUUUUGAUUAUUCCCUCACCGAGGAUAGAAUAAUCUCUAAUUGUAUGGCAAGACAGGAGGCUUUAUAUUUGCAAUUUUAACGCCCAAACAUAAGAACCAGAAGCAAUAUGAGAUGGAGAAUGGAAAUAAAAGGUAAACGGAAAAUCCAGAAGGGACCCAACGGCUUCUAAAGCUGCUGAAGUGGCAAACCCCGAACCAAAUGUGUCCCAAAGGAACUCGCAAAACCAGCCGAUGAGAGAAUCCACCAAAUCCAACGGGAGAGCGAAGGUGCAGAAACAGCCCUAAAUGGUCGGACGUGGAAAUCAACAGCUGCCUAUGAGCAGAAGGACGAAAGGACGAGGUCCUGGAUCUACACGAUCGUGGACAACGUGCCAUACAGAGACAUGGCCUACCUGGAGAAUAGGGAUACGACACAGAAGACGAAUAGAAUUUGGAUUUGUGCGGAAUAGAAGCAGACACACUGGACGGUGAGCAGGAAAAAGAUACUACGUCAAAACCACGAACAUCAGAAUGCAACAAAAAAUACAAGACGUACUGGGAGAGCCGGUUAAGUGUUAAAGCUGUCACAAAGACAAAUCCUUGUCAUCAGGCCACUCCUCAAGGAAAAGCAGAACAAGUGAUACAACUUAAACUGAGGAAUAGCAAGAGGUAGGGCUCCCAUAAGGCAUACCCCUUGAAGUAGACUGCAGACCAAGGGGUCCUUACCAAUGCCAGAAUCUUGAGAAGGCACAUGAGCUGUCGAGCUAGCUGACCUAAGACGUAAAUGGCCCCAUACAAUUUACCCUGAGAGGACAAUUCAGCCAGGCAGUUGAGAACAGCCAUUUUAGAGACUGUAAAAGGGAUCCAAACAUCUCUCCAGACACUAGUCAUCCCAGGAUUCCCUUGUGGAUCCCACAGGUGACAUCUAGAGACAAGGAGUAGUAGAGGGCCUUCCCACGACAACUCCAGCAAGAGAGAGAAUCACGGUUGACUCCUCCAAAGUGGUUUGACCAGGCAAAAUGACACUCCCAGGAGUUAGGUCUGACGCAAUGCCUGAAGUGUCCUGUAGAAAAAGGGGGACGCAUACUGUAGCGGAUGGCACCAGGCGACCCUACAAAUAUACUGUAUAAACCUGCAUUCGUGUAUCUGCUGUAUUUUCUAUGUAUUAAAAAGAAUUGUAUUCCUCUGAUUGUUCGGUAGUUUCAUUCCCUUAGUUUAUUCGAAUGAAACUACCGAACAACCAGACCUCCCCUGUGUGAAGUGUGUCCUCAAUUACCCGUUGCAACAUUGUUGCGAACGGGUAAUUGAACAGUAAGUAGCCGUCCUUUGUUCUCGGGGGUGGCCGCCAUUCGACAAACGAACACGUGGCGGCGGCCAUUUUAAAACUCCCGAACAGCGGUGUUUUGCCGUCGAGUGUCUGGAACUAAAAUCGGACACUCGAGUAGGCGAACACCACUGAGACCUCCACAGCCCUGGUCCGUUCGGUUCCAAACUACCGAACGGCCCCUCGUUCGGUAGAUAGAAAAUACCGAACGAGGGGAUUCAGGCGAACCCUGCCUAGCCUCUAUAGCUAGAGGUUUUUUCGUGUAUUUUAUUCCCUUAUGCCAGGACCGACCGCAGGGCCCAUUCACAUGGAACCGGAUUCGGCUAUCUCCGUUCGUGCGGUCGGUCAUUUUAUUCCCUCCAUACUUUUCCCGAACCCCUGGUCUGAUCUGGGUGAUUUUUGGAUAUGUUGGUCACCCAGAUCAGGGCUACCAGGGGAUGUAUGAUUUAAAGAGUGUGGGGAUAUUUAUGGGAUAAUAAUAGUAACAGUGAGAAUUGCCCACUAAUUCAAUUCUCAGAUCCCAAAGAACGUUUAUCGUGUUAAGUGGAAUGUAUUUCAUAUAAUUGAUAUCACAAUGUAUAAAAAUAGAUUUUAUUUAUGAUAACCAAUAAUUAACAAAUAAUAUUAUGUAACAUGCAUGACAAUAAUCAAUGAAUAUUCAGUAUAAAAUGGUAUGCAAUACAAAGGAAUGGGUAUUACGUUUCAAUGGCUAACUAGCAUUUUCUGUCAAGAAUUCUGACGAUUUAUGAGGUAUCCUUACACAGAUUGAAAGUGAAACUUUUCACACAGAGAACAGAAUUCCUCAGAGUGCAGCGUAAGGUCGUAAAGUUUAGCAGACAGUUAGAAUAACCCUUUCAAUGCUGGCUAGAUCUCCUAGGUAGUUAAGAUCUAUUCUGAUGUCAUUUUAAAUAAAAUAACAUUUAAUCCAGUUUAAAUUCAUUUUCUUAAACCAUCCAAUAAGAGAAUCUAACAUUAUAUAAGCAGAUUUUUAAUUUGUCUAAAAGAUAUCUAUCUUAAUUUAGAGCAAAUCAAUACACCUGGAUAAAAACAGCGGUAUGCUAACACGUGAUAAUAUCACAUCAAUAUAUAAUUAUUCUUAAUUCCACCUGCAGAAUGGAAUGUUUAUAACUAUAUAUUCUUAGUUAACUAAGAUUUCUUAAUAUGGAAAUCUGACCGUGCUUUAUCCAGUCAUAUAUAAUGCUAUUAAUACAUUUUAAUUAAUUUAAUUUAAUUAAAUGAAACCAGUAUAAUUACCAGUUGAGUAGAUAUUUCAUCCGAUUGGUAGUCUCUCUGCAUGGAGGUGUUGGUUAGAAAGUCAGUAAAUUCUAAGUGUUAGAGUUUUAGGAGUAGAGUGUUAGUCUCAGAUGUUGUCCGAGUUGGAGUCCCCAAACUUCCAAUUCCUCUCUCCUCUCCUUUGCAUAUGUCCUGCAUCUGCCUCCUAUUUUUCUAUCUUCCCUUUGUCUUAACUUUUAAAGGGCCAGACUCUCUGUACGUCAUCAGUUGAUAACCCAAUAGAAGCACUAGAGGUGUGGUUAUCUUCCAGAUCGCAAAUUAGUUAUUUGGUCUGUAGAGGGCAGUCUUGUCCCACUAAACAUACCUAUCCAGGAAAGAGUUAACUUUUCCUGGUGGCUAUUUUGACGUCAUUUUGCGUUAUCUUUAUAGCGCCAUAAUUCAAAAUUUCAAAGGAUUUCUUAAAUUUUGUCCAGACUUAGCGUCUGCAAUUCCUGCCAUAAUUUCUGAUAUGACAGAUCAUGAACUAAGUUUACCCUUUUCCAUACAAUGGUACCUUAUAUAUAUAGACAGUUAAAUAUUAAAUUUAAUCUUCUCUGUCACAAUUGUCUGGGUUUAGAUUUGAUUAUAUUCCAUUAGCAUUAGACAGUCUGUCCAACCCCCUUCCUUAUCACUUGGCUUGUAUAUACUAUGCAUUCCUUAGCUCUGGCAAAGAGGCCAGUCUUACAGAAAGAAAUCUAGUGUCUUCUUUGUUUUUGUUAACUUGGAAUAACAAAAUGGAGUCUGGUCUGUUCAGAGUGACUCAGAAUAUACACUUUUAGUUUCUAUCAUAGCACAAAAUGUCUGCCGAUAUAAAUACUCUGACAUAACCCCCCUUUAGUGCAUUUCAUAGCCAAAAUUAAUUUAGCUUAUGAAUAAGCACUAUAGAAGUUACCAGACAUAUUGUGCAAUCACAUCAUUUCUAACAUAGGCCCGUGCGUGGAAUGAACAUUUUUGUAUAUAUUUGUACCUGUAAAAGUUUUGAACUUUACACUUAGUACAAUCAACCAUAAUAUCAUUAUUAACAUAGUACAUUGUUUUCAUUUGAAAAAUGUCUUUGGGAGUUACAUAUGGUAUGGUCAAUAAAAAGCAAAUCUCCAUACGUUCCGGAUCAAUUAAGAGAGGUAUAGCGCUCCCCAUCUCAAAGGCCAGAUUUAAUUGCAUAGGCUCAAUUGUCUCUCCAUCCACAUUGGCAAGCAUCACAUGAACAAUAUCCUUGGAUACAAAGUACAGAGGUAUGCGUCCCCCUGCCAAUUCGAUCAUUCCAGUUUGCACUUCAUCAAGAAAAGCAAGUGUGUGGAACAAUAUUGGGUCAUGCAGAAAUAGAAGUUCACGCUUAAAUAAGUCAUGACUUUGGUGCAACUCAGUGGAUUUGGCAAUUAACUCUGAAUGCAAAUUUGUUGUAACAACUGUGUCUUCCACAAUAGUUAACACAUCUUGGAGAAGUGUUCUUUGCUGGUUUAUCACCUGAUGAAUAUCGUUAAUGUGUUGCUUUAGCGCAUAGAUUUCCAUAUCCAGCUUUUGGACAGUAAUAGAGUUGGCUGCAGACAUUCCAGUUGCGACAACUGCACCGACAGUGGCACAAACUAAUGCAACAAUUAUAGCGGUGAGGAACCUUUUGGGUCGGUUGCUCAUCGGAAUAGAACUGGAUACAAAUGGUUUCCGGGCUUGCUCCAAGAUGUUUCGCACACGGUCCUGUGCUCUUUGGAGGUGCAUCUGGUACCAAGUCUGUAACUCAGGAAGCUGCAUCGAUGAAAUGUUGUAUGCCUUCUCGAUGGAAAUCUUGGGGUCCAAGCUGACGAACACACGUCGGGUCAGGAUCCUCUUCUCUGUCAAGAUGAACCCUGGUGUCUCUUGAAUCAGGAUGCCGGAGGAUGGUCCCAUCUCUGCGAUCGGGUCGGUCCGUAGCUCUUGGCACAGGAGCAGUACGAUCCAGAAACACGCCACAUCCUUCUUGGACAUCUUUCGACAGUCACGGAUCAGGAACUCGUUUCAGACUUAUCUACUAAUGAUUCAAGGUUUGUUAAGCAUACAAACUUAUAACAGUGUGACAUCACUUGGCCUAGGUCAACACAUUUUUACGAUUCAUCACAUAUGUAUUCUGUCUAAUUCCAUUUUUAUAACUUCAUCUCUCACUACAUUUAUUACUGACUCUUCAGCAAUUUGCCUAUAGCAGUUAAACAAGCUAGUAACCUGCUUAUAAAAUGUAGUUAUUGGAUGGCAAGGAAAUGGUUAAUGACAUGAACGUACAUGAGAUCAUGGCACAUCACAACAAUUCACAUCAUACGAUACCACGUGAAUCAAGCAUUCAUCCAGGUUAGUCGUUCACCCUUCUGCAUCUGAAUCCACACCUAUAAUCCUUAAUUGAGAUUUAGGAUGACACGCACGCAACUGGUUAAUGUGAACCCACUUUUCAAUAAAAUCACCAUCCUUAGGAAAUUUUAUCUUAUACGCUACAGGGGAAAUUUUGUCAAUGAUGACAUAUGGCCCUUUCCAAGAAGGUAAAAAUUUAUUUUCCUUAACUUGAUUUCGCGCAAAGUUAUACAGAUAGACUUGAUCUGUGAUCUCAUAUUCCUUUUUCGUGGUUUUUAGAUCGUAAUAGGUCUUAACCCCUGUCGCUGCUUUUUCUAGAUUCUUUUGGGCAAAAGCAAAUGCAUGCUGUAAAUGCUUGCGCAAAUCUUCGAUAUACUGAUGCGUAGUGGCAGCAUUGAUCAAGUUAUGAUCCGAAGUACGAUAUAGUAAAUGCUGUGGUAAAACCAUCUUUCUUCCUGUCAUCAAUUCAAAAGGUGACAAUUUGGUAGCAGUGCUAGGUGUAGCUCUAAUCGCCAUUAAAACUAGGGGCAAUUUAAUGUCCCAGUCUUUACCAGACUCCUUAACAUAUUUCUUCAGAAUAUUAACGAUAGACUGGUUAUAUCGCUCUACCCCCCCGCUAGACGCAGCGCGGUAUGCAAUAUGUAGCUUUCAUUUAACACCUAGAAUGUUCCACAUCUUAGCCAUUACUUCGCUGGUAAAGUGACUACCUCUGUCUGACUCAAUUCUUUGAGGCAGACCGAACCUGGAAAAGACAUGGUUAAUCAACAAAGUGGCGCACACGGUACUCGUGUUCUCUUUACAAGGCAAACAUUCUAUCCACUUUGUGUACAUACAUGUAAUGGUUAACAUGUAUUUGUUACCUCUUGAAGAUCUUGUUACAGGACCUAUAAAGUCAAUUUGAAUAUCAGACCAGGGUAAUGACACCCCCCUCUUCUGAAGUGGUGCACGAUGGGUUGGACCAUGGGGUUGAUAUUGCGGACAAAUCAAGCAUCCCUGACAGUAUGUCUUAACAUCCCUUAACAUGUGUGGCCAAUAUGCAUAAUCACGCAAUAUCUCAUAUGUGAUCUUAUCACCACGAUGCCCAGAUGUAGGUGCAUCAUGUGCGUGUUGGAGCAUUAACCCUCUGUAUACAGUUGGGACUACCCAUUGUUGUAUACCAUGUUUAGAAGUUCUGACCAGUAACCCAUCCAUGAUACUAAAUUGGACUUUAUAUCUCAUCAAGAUUCGUAAAUCUUCAUUAUCUUUGCAAUCCACAUCUGUGAUGGGAUUGGCAGUAGGGUCUUCUAUAUGUUUAUAGAAUAUACCUAUGACGGGAUCGUUCUUUUGACUAGUAAUCAGGUCCUCACUAGGAGCUUCUUGACUCCAUUGCACGACAUUUAAGUCGGCAUUAUCUCUAGCCUGUCGUCUAGUUAUGGCUUCAACAUGAAUUGAACCCAUAAGAUCAUCAAUGUUUAGGGUUUCACCAUUGAUGGCAGCUUGUUUUGCCAGUGAAUCGGCUAAGUCAUUACCAUCCUUGUCAAUACCUUCUAUUUUAGAAUGGCCUUUGGUUUUCUUCCAAUAUAUGGAUAAACCAUUUUCCUUAACCAGUUCAUCGAUUUUACAAAACAAUUUCCCAUGUUUAACAGGUUUGUUAUUGCUUUUCAGCAUUUGGUUACGUUUCCAGCUAGGCAGAUAUUCGACGAAACUGUUGCGAACAUAGUUAGAAUCAGUUAUAAUAACAAAUUCUUUGAUACCAUAUUCUAUUGCCAUUUGAAUGGUCUUAUAUACUGCACAGAGUUCGGCUAUCUGACUGCUUUUGGGACCAAUAUUGUAUCCUAUAGAUACAUUAGGAUAAUCACCUAUCCAGGCGAUUCCGAUACCUGCAGCUAACUUCCGUUCAGUACCAACGACGUGGUGAUAUGAACAACCAUCAAUGUAUACCCACGGUAGUGGUUGACAGUAUUCCUCGUCAUAAACUUUAUAAGGAGAUAGCAAUUGCUCUUCUAGGAAGUCAUCUCCGGUGUCAUUAUCAUCCAGAGAUGGAGCAGUACAAUCAUGUAAUUCUGCUAAACCUUGGGCAACUGGGCUUCUCUUAUUAUGUUUAUAACGGACUUCUAACGGCCAUCCCUGUAAGGAUAGAGUCCAUGCAGUAAUCCGACUGUUAGAGAGAUUACCGUCUCUAAUUCUUUCACUCUGCAGAUACUGUAGAGGUUGGUGAGCUGUUUCUACAAUUAUUUUCUCACCUUGGAUAUAGCUACGAAAAUUUUGUAGUGCCCAGACAGUCGACAAUAACGCCUUCUCACACGUGUUGAAUUUAACUUCAACAGGUGACAAAGUCUUGCUAGCAUAUGCAAUAACUUUGUUUAAACUGUCCUGCUUCUGAUACAGAACAGCACUUAUGCUUAAAUCGGUAUAUCCUGUCUCCAGAUAGAAGGGUUUACCCCCCUCUGGGUAUGCUAAACAGGGUGCCUGAGUGAGCUUCCUCCUCAGUUCACUUACCGCUUGGUCCUGAGGCUCCCCCCAGUUCCAGGUAGUUUCCUUUUUAAGCAGGUGUAAGAGUGGUUUAGUUAUUUCUGCAUAGUUAUCUAUAAACUUACGGGAGUAGUUAGUCAUACCAAGGAACGAUCUUAAUUCCCUGAUGUUUGAAGGUGUUUUAGCCUUUAGUACGGCUUCAACCUUCUUCCUCUGGGGAUUUAAUCCUUCAGAAGUUACCUCAUGUCCGAGGAAAUUGACAUGGGUGCGACACCAUUGUGCCUUUUGUAAAGACAGUUUAAUUCCUGCUUCUCUUAACUGAGUGAGAACAUGUCUAAUCUCCAAGAUAUGCUUAUCAAAGGAAGUGCUUUUCAGCAAGACAUCGUCGACAUAUGAUAACGUUCCUCUCUCGAGUGCGUCAGGCAUAGCUUUAUGCAUGAACACAGCAAAUUCAUGACCAGAGUUUAUGUAACCGAAAGGCAUACGGGUCCAGGUAUACUGCUGCUUUCCAAAUGUGAAGGCCAAUUUGUGAAGGCCAAUUUGUAUUGGUCUUCAUUAUGGACUGGUACAGUCCAAUAUCCCUGCGCACAGUCAAUGGCAGUGAAUAUUUUGGAUCCCUGCAUUUGUACCAAACAUUGGGCUAUGUAUGGCGUUGGCCAACCAGACAUAUAGACGCGUUUAUUUAGCUGUCGUAAGUCAGCGCAUAAACGCCAUUGUCCAUUAGGUUUCAGAAUCCCCAAGAUUGGAUUAUUAUACGAACUGUGCACUGGACGUAUAAUGCCCCUUUCCUUUAAAUUCCGAAUGAUGUCUUGUAGACCAUCAUAUGACGCUAAUGGGAGUCUAUAUUGUUUGAUGAAUACAGGUGGUAAAUUUGGAUCAGUUUGUAUUCUGGCUACGUGGAGGUUAGUUAACCCACAGUCGUAGGAAUCUUUGGCAAAAAUAUCUUGGAAUUCCAAAAGGAUUUCCUUUAGCUGUUGCCGCUCAGCAUCGUUGGAGCAACCGUCAGCUAAAGAUAUUUGCUCUUCUAGCCUUUCCUGAAAUCCUGGAAAGAUUUCAGGCUGGCCUAUCUCGUAAGCUUCUUCAAGCCUAGAAGUUAGGUCAGUUCGGUGUUGACUUACCUUUUCUCUUUGGUCGUGAUACUCUUGUGAUUCCUGCUCAUUGAGCGGAUGAUCGAAGGUGAUAGAUGCUUCUUCGAUUUUACACGAGCCUUCAACAUUGAAGGGAUACACAGAUAGGAUAGUGAAUAAUCCUUCUGGGGAGGAAUGGAAUAUUUGAUCGACCAUUUCGUCCUCAGUUAAGUAUUCUUCAGGGAUGAGGCCUAUAAUUUUGUUUUGGAAACCAAAUGUAUAGUACUCAGCAUCCAAUGCUAGACCUAGUAAUGUUCCUUUUGGUAAAGUAACACUAUUGGGUGUAACAUUGUUGACCAUGAUAUAGGUGGGAUUCUUACCAAUACUUACCAUUGGUGUAUGUGUUACCAGCAUCCCUAAUUGUUGUAUCCUAUUGGAUAAACAGAUUAGGGCAUCACAGUUUUCUAAUCUCUGACCCUUCUUGACCUGUAGGGGUAAAAGAAAAUUACUUGUCCCCUGUGGAAUGGUUAUGUCAUCAGGAACUUGGAUGCUUACCGCAUAUGGGAGUAUUUGUCCUGAUUUCAGGGUGUUUUCCUCGUGUAGGUAACCACAAGGAUUACCUGUUAACCUUGUCCACAAGUUGGAAUUAAUCAGGUCAAGGUGUAUGGCAAAGCGAUGUAUGACAUCAUUGCCAACGUAAACCUGAUAGCGGGGUUCGUCUAUCACUAGGAAUAAAUGUUUAACGGUCUUAUUUCCGAUGGAAAUAGAUAGUAAACAUUUUGCUAUCACAUUGUGACUCUCUGAUUCGCCAUCCAGAUCCUGGAUCCACCUGUCAUGUGGGGAAGCGUACCUGAUCAUUUUAGGAUUAGCGAUCUGCUUUAACAGACUUCUGCUAAUAUAGCUGUUCUCACUCUGUAAGUCCAGCUUUGCAUUCCUACUUCUUCCUAAGUCAUUUAUUUGCAUAGGAAAGAAUAAGUUGUUAUUAACCCUUUCAAUUCUGGCAAGGAAUUGAGCAUGACCUGCCAGAUCUACAGAUUCAACAUAGUCCCUGUGGAGAGAAAUGGUUAAAACAUCACCUUCCAGAGAGACAUUCUGGAUCCUCUCUGGAGCAAUUCUUACGGAAUGCUCAUCUACAGGUGCGAUUGCAUCAUUCACCUGCAGGAUAGUCACGUCAGGUGACUGACUAUUUCUAAAAUGUACCUCAAUCGAGUCAGGUCUUUCUUCUAUCACAUGGCAGUUACGAUCAGAUUGUACAUGUGAUUUCUCAUAGGUUAUGGGAACCUUAGCUUGUGACCAUACAAUUCCAUUUACACAGUCAAUAAUUGUGUUAAGUCUUCUGAGUAUGUCUAUACCCAGAAUCAGUCGGUCAUAGGGGAGAUCUACCACUAUCACCGGGUGUCUAAAGGUUUUGUUACCUAUUUUAAACUUUAACCAGGUAUUGCCAAUAACAUGAAGGGCAUUUCCUCCUACACUCAACAGAGCAUUGGGGAAAUCUCUUAGCUUCGGCUUAUCCGUUGCUAAGUCCAUUACCUGCUGGAAGUAGGUAUUGGAUAAGAUAGUGGCUUGUGAACCAGUAUCUAUUAACCCUUUAAAAGGCUGGGGUAGCGAAUCCUGUAUUUCUACAGACAUGUAGUACCUUCCUUCAUGUUCUUCUAAUUCACAUAAGAAUUUAGAAUGUGUCAACAUAUUACUUGUUUUCCAUACAUUACCGGUCACAGCAGUAGUUUCUACCUGUACUGAGGAAUGCUCAGUCUUACCCACAGGCCCAUCCUUUUUAGGAAUAUCUUGAACUGUCAAGCGGGGACUAGUGGUCGGCAUCUCAUCAGUUAACCCUUUCAAUUCUGGUUCCUGGAAACUAGUGGCUGCUGGGGCUACUUUAGCCUUUUGCUGAAAUGAAAAAACAGUGGAACACGUUGCGCCUCCUUCACCCGGAAGUGAAGUGACGGGAUAGGCAAUAGGUUUUCUAACACAACUAUUAUUUGUUUGACUGUUAGUACCUGGAAAGGAAACAGGGUUAGGUAUUACAUCUACUGAUAACCUAGCCUGUUUAGUCACAGUGGCUAUUAUUGCUGCGGCACCUGUUGUUGUUGCUGCGGUUGCACAGGUAGUUCUGCAAUUGGAGCUAUCCCUAAAAAAGGAUUUCUGGCAAAGACUUCGUUAAUCUUUGUCAUUCCCUCCAUUAAUUUGCCCAUCUGGUCAGUCAAUUGACCAACCUGACGACGCAAAUUAUUUCCCCCAUUGCCGUUUUGUCUUUGCCCAUUAGAAUUUGGCUGGGAUGGCUGAGACUGUUGGGAGUUAUUGGAAGCAGAUUGAUUGUUUCUGUUUCCAUAUCUCCUAUUUCCCUGAGGAUUCCUUCUCCAUUGGGAAUUGCCUUGGUUUUUAUUAACCCAGGGGCGUUUAUUCCCAUUGGCAUUGGAUUUUCAGAGUUAUUAGAGGAAUUUGCAGAAUUGCUUCCGCAUUUUCCUGUUUCUGAGGUUUUGGAGUUUUCAAAACCUCGGAAUAGGUCCUCUUUUUCUGUUGGGUUUCUAAACCUAACUGAAUUUUAGUCUCUGACACCAUUUUAUCACCAGGUUUCUUAACCUUUGGCUGAUUUUCGUCAUGUGCAUGGUGUAUAGUAUACAAUUUCAUGCACUGACUGACUAGCCAUUCUAAUGGUAACUUACAAUCGUAAUCUCUUGCGAGAUUCAUUUGUAUGUUUACUGGCAUGGCAUGAAAAUACAGAUCUUUGAAGUCUGUGCUUUCAUACCUGGGUUUCCUUUGGGCCACGGAGUAUGCAUUUUUAAGAAUUAUUAAAAAUUCUCUGGGGCUUUGAUCUGGACGGCACUUUAAGUUAUAAAGCGCCUUCUUUGCAGAGGCAAUGGUUUUAUACUUACCAUAUUCCAUGAUUAUUUCAUAUUUCAUCUUGGACCAGGACAUUAACUGUAUAGCUUGAAGACUUUCUAGAUAAACACGGCACAUUGAAUCAAAGGUCCAUGUAAUGAACCAUUUCUUAUGAAUGUCAUCAUACAUACCCAAUGAAUUCAUUGCUCUAUCAUAAUUUUCCAGAUGUUCAGAUAUGUUUCCUGAACCUCUAGAAAAUUGUGGGACAGUCUCUCUAAGGAAUUUGAUGACCUUUGGUGUUUCAUAAACAGGCGUCGUUGAUUUACGAUCUCUGUUUCUGUGUUUGGGUAAACGUCUAUGCGAUCUGUCUGCUGAAGAGGAAUUAGACCCGUACAACAGUGCAGAUGGCAUAUCAGUUACAUGGCCUUCAGAGUGGACAGUGCAAUCAAUUUCACUCCCAUCACUCUGAGCUUCUUGUUCACUGUCACAAUUCUGAUCUGCAUCAGAGUUCUGCCAGUGUACAGAACCAUGUCUGUUUUCAUUCCUAUCAUCUUGAAUUGGACUCUCCCUCUCAAGUUUGGCCAAGACAGCUUUUUCAAACUGUUCUGCCCAAGAUUGCCAAGAUGGCUUGGUAAUGUCAUGAGAUGGGGAAUCUUGUUCCACAGGUGAUUUUUUAGAAUUACUCACAUCUUUACUUACAGACUGUUUUAUGAAAACCUGGUUUGGUGUGGGAAAAUCAUAAUAAGGAGGGGAUUUACAGAUAGUCUUUUCUUGCAUUUUUGUGCAACUUUUUGGCACAGAAUGAUGACUACCAACCUCACUGUCUAAUUUCUGACUCUCCUUUUCAUACUCAUCCAAUUGCAUUUUAAGCUGAUUUAUUUCCUGUGCAUAUUUAUCCAUCAAAGCUUUCAUUUCUUUUUCAUGAUCAGCCUGACGAGUUUUAUGCUCAGCAAGUAAAUCUUGGUAUUUCCCAUUUUGAAUGCCCAAAUCGUCACUGUACGUGUCCAAUUUGGCAUUCAAUGACUUGUUUUCAUCACACACCUUAAGAAGUGCUGUCAUAAAGAAAGGCCAAGAGUGUAUUAUGAACGCCAUUUUCCUUUCUAUGUUCUUUUGUUCAGCAAUUUCUUUAAGAUAUAUGAUGAUGUGUUCAUCAGUUAGAAUGGUGUGUUUAGCUUCCCAUUCUAUGCUUUUCAACCAAACCUCAUAGGUUGCAUCAUUUUUCAUAUGUUUAUGAAUAUGAACUAGAGCAUGUUUUCUUAGGUCUUCAAUUAUUUCAGUAUUAUCUGUUACAGAUUUAUCACUGCCACUGGCCAUUUUUAUUUUUAUUUUAUUGAUUAAUCUCAAUACAAAACUCUUUUCUAUAUUAAGAUUAAAUUGCAUGAAUUACACCAAUAUUAUUAUUAUAUAUGAAAUACAAUUUCAACUUAAACGAUCUCAGCACCGUGCCUUCAAUAUGUGGCGAUAUUUAUGGGAUAAUAAUAGUAACAGUGAGAAUUGCCCACUAAUUCAAUUCUCAGAUCCCAAAGAACGUUUAUCGUGUUAAGUGGAAUGUAUUUCAUAUAAUUGAUAUCACAAUGUAUAAAAAUAGAUUUUAUUUAUGAUAACCAAUAAUUAACAAAUAAUAUUAUGUAACAUGCAUGACAAUAAUCAAUGAAUAUUCAGUAUAAAAUGGUAUGCAAUACAAAGAAAUGGGUAUUACGUUUCAAUGGCUAACUAGCAUUUUCUGUCAAGAAUUCUGACGAUUUAUGAGGUAUCCUUACACAGAUUGAAAGUGAAACUUUUCACACAGAGAACAGAAUUCCUCAGAGUGCAGCGUAAGGUCGUAAAGUUUAGCCGACAGUUAGAAUAACCCUUUCAAUGCUGGCUAGAUCUCCUAGGUAGUUAAGAUCUAUUCUGAUGUCAUUUUAAAUAAAAUAACAUUUAAUCCAGUUUAAAUUCAUUUUCUUAAACCAUCCAAUAAGAGAAUCUAACAUUAUAUAAGCAGAUUUUUAAUUUGUCUAAAAGAUAUCUAUCUUAAUUUAGAGCAAAUCAAUACACCUGGAUAAAAACAGCGGUAUGCUAACACGUGAUAAUAUCACAUCAAUAUAUAAUUAUUCUUAAUUCCACCUGCAGAAUGGAAUGUUUAUAACUAUAUAUUCUUAGUUAACUAAGAUUUCUUAAUAUGGAAAUCUGACCGUGCUUUAUCCAGUCAUAUAUAAUGCUAUUAAUACAUUUUAAUUAAUUUAAUUUAAUUAAAUGAAACCAGUAUAAUUACCAGUUGAGUAGAUAUUUCAUCCGAUUGGUAGUCUCUCUGCAUGGAGGUGUUGGUUAGAAAGUCAGUAAAUUCUAAGUGUUAGAGUUUUAGGAGUAGAGUGUUAGUCUCAGAUGUUGUCCGAGUUGGAGUCCCCAAACUUCCAAUUCCUCUCUCCUCUCCUUUGCAUAUCUUGCAUCUGCCUCCUCGUCUAUCUUCCCUUUGUCUUAACUUUUAAAGGGCCAGACUCUCUGUACGUCAUCAGUUGAUAACCCAAUAGAAGCACUAGAGGUGUGGUUAUCUUCCAGAUCGCAAAUUAGUUAUUUGGUCUGUAGAGGGCAGUCUUGUCCCACUAAACAUACCUAUCCAGGAAAGAGUUAACUUUUCCUGGUGGCUAUUUUGACGUCAUUUUGCGUUAUCUUUAUAGCGCCAUAAUUCAAAAUUUCAAAAGGAUUUCUUAAAUUUUGUCCAGACUUAGCGUCUGCAAUUCCUGCCAUAAUUUCUGAUAUGACAGAUCAUGAACUAAGUUUACCCUUUUCCAUACAAUGGUACCAUAUAUAUAGACAGUUAAAUAUUAAAUUUAAUCUUCUCUGUCACAAUUGUCUGGGUUUAGAUUUGAUUAUAUUCCAUUAGCAUUAGACAGUCUGUCCAACCCCCUUCCUUAUCACUUGGUUUGUAUAUACUAUGCAUUCCUUAGCUCUGGCAAAGAGGCCAGUCUUACAGAAAGAAAUCCUGUGUCUCUUUGUUUUUGUUAACUUGGAAUAACAAAAUGGAGUCUGGUCUGUUCAGAGUGACUCAGAAUAUACACUUUUAGUUUCUAUCAUAGCACAAAAUGUCUGCCGAUAUAAAUACUCUGACAAGAGGUACCCCUACGUUUAGGGGUACAUCCAGAAAUGGGGGGAAUUGGUGUGCUGGAUAAGGGGAUUAUGAUGCUGGCUGAGGGGAGGAGAUGUGUGGGAGGUUACCAGGACAGUAUUGGCUACUGUAAUAAUUACUGUAAAUCCCUCCCUUGCAUGGGAGCAUGCUUUAUAAGGAGACUGUGAUUAAAGGCUUGUCAGUUAUGCUCCUGAAACUGUGUGUCGUCCAGUUAUUGGGAUUGCUGUUGGGAUAUUGCUGUAUUUUACCUGCUGGUAGCCUUGCCUGUGGAUCUACUAUUUACUUGUUCCUGAGUCCCACUUGGAUUAUAAGCGGAGAUAACCUGGGUAAUAUUGCAUCUCCGCUACACAUACGCCACCGAGGGAGGCCAAUCUUGGAAAACGCAUCCAUCACCUCGCUGAGCGUCUGGAAACCAACUGAAGAACCACUCUGUUUGACGGUUCGCACAGGAUGCAAUCAGUCCAGUACUCGAGACUCUGGAGGGUGAUGUAACCAAUCGUUGGCAUCUCUCCAGUGUCGGGAUAACCGGUCCGCUACAUGAUUGUCUUGUCCCGCAGAUGGUCUGCCACAAGUGACGAAUACUUGUCCACACAGUAUUGAUAGAGAUCCUUCGUGAGAGCCGACUGCAGUCCAAAGCGGACAACAGGGAAGUCGUUAAUGCCGGGAGGCAGCGAGCAGUAAUUCUUCCCCUGGGGGAGCUGCAAAUGGCGAACGAACCUGCAGGUAGUUCCAUACAGUUGAUGUGAAUAGCUCUCUCCGGUCGUAACACCCCAGUCCGUACAGCCAACACGUGGGUUGCGGACCAUGUGUCUGAUAUCCUGGUGCGGCCAGCUGGGGUCACCCAGCAUGCAAGAGGGGGUUACCCAACAAGCACAAGCAUACCAUGCAGUAUGCAGGGGAGGGGGUUACCCUCAGCAUGAACAUAGCAGGACACUGUAGGUACAACAGUGCCGUAGGCAGUAGGGGUCAGCCGUAUUAUGCAUUUAACAAGACACUGCAGAUCCAGCAGUGCAGACAGCAGGAGGGGGUCACCAUCAUAUAAUCAUAACCGGACAUUGCAGGUCCAACAGUGCAGUAGGUAAGAGGGGGUCACCCUCAGUAUGAGUAUCAUAGGACACUGUAAGUACAGCAGUGCAAUUAGCGGGAGGGGGUCACCCUCAUUAUGGACAUAACAGGACACUGCAGGUCCAGCAGAGUAGUCCGCAGGAGGGGGGUCACCCUCAGCAUAAACAGAGCAGGACAUUGUAAGAACAGCAGCACAAUCAGUGGGAGGGGUACCCUCCUUAUGAACAUAACAGGACUCUGCAGGUCCAGCAGUACAGACUGCAGGAUGGGGUCACCCUCAGUAAUGAUAGGGCUGUAUGAGGAGCCACACUGAGGAAGAGUGUGGGCGACAGAGCCCAGUAGGGAAAGCCAGGAUGGUGGAACAGGGUAUAGCAAAUCAAAACCCCAUAACAGGGAGCAGGGUGCCCAUUCCACAGACAGCCCAGCAAAGUAACACAGCAAUAAACAGCAUAAAGUGACACAGCAAAUAAACAGUAUAAAGUAGUACAGCAAUAAAUAGCCUAAAGUAACACAGCAAUAAGCAGUAUAAAGUAGUACAGCAAUAAAUAGCCUAAAGUAACACAGCAAAUAAGUACCACGUAGGAGAAAAACAACCCAGAGCAGAGACAUCUCUGAGUUGGUGAGUGCUCACCUGGAGGCAGCAGAAAGAAAGAGGAAGUGGGAGGGUCUGCCUAAGUGGUUUUAUACUGCUGUUAUUUUGUUCUGGUUGGUUGUUUUGAAAAGUUUUGUUAACUAUUUCUUUGCUGCUGGAGGUUUCAGUAAAGAAGAUAAAGCAAAUAUGAAGCCUCCUGUCUUGCCAUAAAAUUGUAAAUACAUUAAUUAAUAAUCAUAUUAUCAAAUAUAUCUUCAAAUAUCAAAAAUAAAAUGUCUGGAAUCCCCCACAAUAUUAUGGAAUUCUAUGAAGUUCUACCUAGUCAGAUAUCAAUGGGACAGACCAUAACAUUUGUUAAACAGAUCUAAGUGAUAGAAAGCAGAUUGAUAUUUUCUACACUAGAAACUACCAGAUAACAAGCUGCUGUAUUUAAACCAAUUAUCAAUAGCUAAGAGGUACUUAAAAAAUAUUGUAAUUCUGGGGCAAUACCCUCACAAGUCAAACUGAGAGGUCAGUUUAUAGGGAAAACUGUUGCCUGGAUACAAUUCUAAAACAAUUUCCAUAUGUCCUUUGCAGACUUUACAUGCUGGAAAAACACAGGUGCCAACUGCUGUGGCUUUCUGCAGUGUGCAGACCGGCAAGGAGGGCAGGGUUGAGGAGUGGGUGGAAGAUGAUGUGGAGGAUGAUGAGGUCCUAGACCCCANNNNNNNNNNNNNNNNNNNNNNNNNNNNNNNNNNNNNNNNNNNNNNNNNNNNNNNNNNNNNNNNNNNNNNNNNNNNNNNNNNNNNNNNNNNNNNNNNNNNCAUGGAAUGAAGGUCAUGCAAGUGACGUGUGCAGUUUAGAGGAAGAGGCGGUGGUCGCACAGCGGCACCAGCACCGCAAAAGAGGGAGCAGGGUGCAAAAGCGGAGCGACCGUCCCCUAGCGCUCGUCAUGUAUUAGCUUUAGAAUUACCACAGUUAUCCAAGUAACAGAUGGAGCGAUCAAAGGAACCAUAACUGAUUUAAUGAGCCAUUCGCAGUUUCACUGUCAGGGCAACGGUCCGGUGACCGGGACCCAGACACUGUCUGGGCGGUGGUCGGACGACCCGAACCCAGUAUGCCUGUUGUUGAAGUUAGGAGUCACAGUGUGGAAUGGAUUAGCAUAGUCUGGUGCAGGGUAACCCCACGCCCCCUGGUGUUGAGCACCAGCGUUUGUGUGGCCACUGUCAGGAUACUGACAGGGAUCCAAUACGCAGAGUGCGGACAGAAGGAGGUACGUAUACCGGACCUUAGAAUGGCCGGACUAACGUAGGGACAAAACAAGAAUAGUCAAAAGGUAAGCCGAGGUCGAGGGAGCCGGAGGACAGGUAAGCGAGAUACAAGCCGAGUCAAAGGAGAGGAGAGGACAACAGGACAAAAGACAAGCAAGGGUCAAAACCGGAAACACAAGAUAAAGAACGCGCUGAGUGACUAGCAAGCUAGAACCACGACAGGGCAAUGAGCAGUAGUAAAGGUUUCCUUUAAAUACCCUGUUACCUAAAUAGAGACCACGCCCCCAAAAGGUCCGGAAUAGCGGUUCCCGGCACUUCAUGUAAAUGCCGACGUCAUGACGUCGACGCUAGCCGUCGCGUCAUAAAAGGGGGAGGAGCUAGCGCGGCCGGCGCGAAAACGGCCGGAAUAUGCCGAAAAGCUAGGGGCAGGGAGCCCCUAAGCAGAGAGGAUGUCUUCCCUGGAUUCAGCACCAACAGGUACCCUGACAGUACCCCCCCUUCUAGAAACGCCCACCGGGCGGAUGGGACUGGGCUUAGAAGGAAAACGAAUGUGGAAGGCCCGAAGAAGACGAGGAGCAUGCACGUCUGUACAAGGAACCCAAGACCUCUCUUCUGGACCAUAACCUUUCCAGUCUAUGAGGUAUUGCAGCUUCCCCCUAGAAAUACGAGAAUCAAGGAUGGACUUAAUGAUAUAUUCCUCCUGACCAUCCACACGGACCGAGGAUGGAGGAGCAGAGCGGGAGGAAAAUCUGUUACAAACAAGAGGUUUCAAUAAAGACACAUGAAAAGAGUUAGGAAUGCGUAGAGUAGGAGGCCAGUCCAGCAAAUAAGAAACCGGGUUGAUCCUCCUCAGCACCCUGUAAGGGCCAAUGUAACGAGGAGCAAACUUCAAGGAAGGGACUUUCAGGCGAAUGUGUCUGGUACACAACCAGACCCUAUCACCCGGAGAAAAAAUAGGAGCAGGCCGUCUACGCCUAUCAGCAUGUGACUUAAACACCGCGGAACUACGUGUCAAGAAUUUGUCGAGUCUGAUCCCACAACUUUCUCAGGUUGGCUAUAUGAAUAUCAACCGACGGUAUACCCUGGGAAGGAGACACCGACGGAAGAACAGUAGGGUUAAAGCCAUAGUUCAAGAAAAAGGGGCUAUUACGAGUGGAACCACAAACAAGGUUGUUGUGAGCAAACUCCGCCCAAGGAAUCAGACCGACCCAGUCAUCCUGGUGUUCAGAAACAAAACAACGUAGAUAUUGCUCAAUUUUUUGGUUAGUGCGUUCGGCUGCUCCGUUAGAUUGAGGAUGAUAGGCCGAAGAAAAAUUCAGUUUGAUGCCCAACUGGGAACAGAAGGAUCUCCAAAAAUGGGAAAUAAAUUGGGAACCCCUGUCCGACACAAUCUCAUUGGGAAUACCAUGUAAACGGAAAAUUUCUCUAGCAAAUAUCACGGCCAGUUCAGGAGAGGACGGAAGUUUAGGCAAGGGAAUGAAAUGAGCCAUUUUAGUAAACCUGUCAAGGACCGUGAGGAUAACCGUAUGCCUACUGGAAGCUGGUAGAUCAACAAUAAAAUCCAUAGCCAAACAAGCCCAAGGUUUGUUGGGAACGACUAAGGGCUGCAAUAAACCACAAGGGAGAUCCCGUGGAAGUUUAUUCCUGACACAAACAUUGCAAGCCUUGACAAAGUCUUCCACAUCCCUACGUAAACCAGGCCACCAGAAGUCUUUGGAGAUCAGGCAGUAAGUUUUGUGGAUGCCGGGGUGACCAGCGAACUUGCUAUCGUGAAAACAGCGAAUAAUGUCCACUUGGAAUUUGGGAGACACGAACAAGCGGCCCACAGGAGUACGUUCGGGAGCAAGAGAUUGUUCGUUCAUAAUAUCAGCGAGCAAUGGAGAGUGUAUUUUGACAUUGGUGUUGGCGAUAAUAUUGACUUCAGGAAUAAUAGGGAACAAAGUGUCCUCUGUAGAGGUGAUAGGUUCGUGCUGACGAGACAAAGCGUCUGCCUUAGUGUUCUUAGAACCAGGCCUGUAAGUAAGCAUAUAAUUAAAGUGUGUAAGGAACAUAGACCAACGUGCCUGCCUGGCAGAUAAUCUUUUGGCCUCCCCCAUAUACGAUACAUUUUUGUGGUCAGUCAAGAUAGUAACUGGGAGGACAGUGCCCUCUAACAAAUGUCUCCAUUCAUUUAAUGCCAUAAUGAUAGCUAAAAGUUCUCUAUCACCAAUGUCAUAUCUCCUUUCAGUGUGUGAUAGUUUCUUAGAAAAAAAAACGCAAGGGUGCAGCGGCUUAUCUAAACUUUGUCUUUGGGACAACACUGCGCCUAUCCCUGUUUCUGAUGCAUCAACUUCAAGUAAAAAGGGUAGAGAGGUAUCAGGAUGAACUAAUACAGGUGCUGAGGCAAAAGACUGUUUGAGCGUUUCGAAAGCAGAUAAAGCCUCAGUAGACCAGGUCUUUGGUAUCGGCUCCUUGUUUGGUCAUAUUAGUGAUAGGAGCGAUAACAGAGGAGUACCCUUUAAUAAAACGUCUGUAAUAAUUAGAAAAUCCAAGAAAUCUUUGUAUGGCUUUGAGUCCCUUAGGUAAAGGCCAAUCUAAAAUCGAUUUUAGUUUGGUCGGGUCCAUCAUAAACCCGUCUUUGGAAAUUACGUAACCUAAGAAAGUUACCUGAGACUGGUCAAAGCUACAUUUUUCCAAUUUACAAUACAAUCCAUGUUGUAAAAGUUUCUGUAAUACCUUUCUGACUUGUCUAUGAUGUGAAUUAAUGUCUCUAGAAUGGAUUAGUAUAUCAUCCAAAUAUACAAUUACACAUUCAUGUUGGAAUUCUCUAAGAACUUCAUUGAUCAAGUCUUGGAAGACGGCCGGGGCGUUACAAAGUCCAAACGGCAUUACGGUAUACUCAUAAUGCCCGUAACGGGUAUUAAAUGCUGUCAUCCAUUCAUCUCCUUGUUUAAUUCGCACCAAGUUAUAUGCUCCUCUCAAGUCAAGUUUGGUAAAAAUACUCGAGCCCUUUAGUCUGUCAAAGAGUUCAGUAAUCAAAGGAAUAGGGUAAGCAUUCCUGAUAGUAAUUUUGUUCAAUCCCCGAUAGUCUAUACAAGGACGUAAGGUACCGUCUUUCUUUUCUACAAAAAAGAAACCCGCCCCCGCCGGAGAAGAAGACUUUCUAAUAAAUCCUUUGUCUAAAUUCUCCUUGAUGUAUUCCUCUAAAACUAAGUUUUCCUUGGUGGAUAGAGGGUAUACCGUACCCCUGGGAGGCAUAGUACCAGGGAAAAGUUUAAUAGAACAGUCAUAAGACCGGUGGGGAGGUAAAGUAUCCGCCUUACCCUUGUCAAAUACAGAUUUGAGGUCUAGAUAUUGUAAUGGUAUCAGGACGUCUGUGGAUUGGGAAGAGUUAGCAUAAGAGUUUACGGGGCAAACAGAAGUAACUCUCUGCAGACAUUCUUUCCUACAGCCCAUACCCCAAGAAACAAUUUCUCCACCCUCCCAGUCAAUCUGAGGGUUGUGUCUCUUGAGCCAAGAAUAUCCUAGUACCACUGGAACUGCCGGGGAGGAAAUUAACAGAAGGGAAAUCAACUCCUCGUGGAAAAUACCAACAGUAAGCUUAACGGGUUUGGUCUCAUGGAAUAUUAUUGGUUCAGAUAAAGGUCUACCAUCUAUGGCCUCAACGGCCAAGGGUGUAUCUCUCAGUUGGAAUGGGAUACAAUGCUUAUUAGCGAAAGUUUGGUCUAUAAAGCUUUCUGCUGCUCCAGAAUCUAACAAUGCCAUCGUAGAAAUAAACCCAUUUUCCCAAGCUAGAGAGACAGGAAUCAGAAGCCUAUGGUCUUUUUUAUUAUGCAUAGAGGACAGUAACGAAACACCCAAAGGCCCGUCCUCUAAGGGAACUUAGGUGCGAGCGUUUCCCGGACGAUUAGGGCAACUAAGACGUAGGUGACCUCUCUGCCCGCAGUAUAAACAGAGACCCUCCCUUCUUCUGUACUGUCUCUCAGCCUCAGAUAAGCGAGUAUUACCUAUUUGCAUAGGUUCUGGUGGAGUAAGGUUAUGGGAGUCAGGGUUCUGAAAUGAGGGAGCGAGUCUUACAGGAAGUCUAGUAACUCUUUCCCGAGUGUUCUGCCUCUGUCUCAUGCGUUCAUCUAUUCUGGAAAUGAAUGAUACUAAAUCCUCUAAAUUUUCCGGAAGUUCUCUUGUGGCAAUCUCAUCUAGAAUUUCAUCAGACAACCCAUUCAAGAAUACAUCCAUAAAAGCUUGUUCGUUCCAUUUCACUUCUGCAGCCAAUGAUCUAAACUCUAGAGCAUAUUCUACAAGGGUCCUAUUCUGUUGUUUAAGGCGUAACAGGGAUCUGGACGCAUUAAUCUUCCUUCCUGGGGGGUCAAAGGUUCUUCUAAAAGCCGUGACAAAAGCAGUGUAGUUGUAGACUAAAGGAUUGUCAUUCUCCCAAAGGGGAUUGGCCCAUCUAAGUGCUUUAUCUAUUAGCAGAGUUAUAAUAAAGCCUACUUUAGCCCUGUCAGUAGGGUAAGCCCGGGGUUGAAGUUCGAAAUGUAUGCUUAUCUGGUUUAAAAAACCACGACAAGCAUCAGGCGAACCCCCAUAACGUAACGGUGAAGUGACAUGGGAAGAUGCGCCUACAGUGGCUACUUCCAAACCAGUACUUAGUGGGUGGCUAGCAGUGGAACGUAUUUCUUCGACUGGGUGCUGGAGCGUGUUAACAAAGUUUGUAAUGCUAAAGCCAUUUGGUCCAUUCUAUGGUCCAUGGCCUCAAAUCUGGGGUCAGGAGGACUAGCACCUGCAGGAUCCAUUUGGCCCUGUCGUAAUGUCAGGAUACUGACAGGGAUCCAAUACGCAGAGUGCGGACAGAAGGAGGUACGUAUACCGGACCUUAGAAUGGCCGGACUAACGUAGGGACAAAACAAGAAUAGUCAAAAGGUAAGCCGAGGUCGAGGGAGCCGGAGGACAGGUAAGCGAGAUACAAGCCGAGUCAAAGGAGAGGAGAGGACAACAGGACAAAAGACAAGCAAGGGUCAAAACCGGAAACACAAGAUAAAGAACGCGCUGAGUGACUAGCAAGCUAGAACCACGACAGGGCAAUGAGCAGUAGUAAAGGUUUCCUUUAAAUACCCUGUUACCUAAAUAGAGACCACACCCCCAAAAGGUCCGGAAUAGCGGUUCCCGGCACUUCAUGUAAAUGCCGACGUCAUGACUCGACGCUAGCCGUCGCGUCAUAAAAGGGGGAGGAGCUAGCGCGGCCGGCGCGAAAACGGCCGGAAUAUGCCGAAAAGCUAGGGGCAGGGAGCCCCUAAGCAGAGAGGAUGUCUUCCCUGGAUUCAGCACCAACAGGUACCCUGACAGCCACAUACCAGAAUCCUGAUGCAGCUUCAGCGGAUCCCAGGAACUAGGAGCUUGGAAAUAAGCAGACCUCCCAGAAGCUGAAUAGGGAGGCUCUGCAGCACGAAUGUAUCCAGUGCAGAAACAAGGCAAGACUAGAACAGACACCAAACAUGAAAACAAGACAGAACUAGGAGAACAAUAUUUUGGGGACUACCCCAAUUCAAAUAAAAAACAGUGUUGGCUACCGCCUCCUCCACCGUCGCUUCCACCUACACCGCUACAGUGUAUACCCAGAUAUAUCAGAGCUGCCGCAGAAAGUGCGGGCCGUCCAGAUCCGAAAUGCCAGCAAGUUCCCUCUGCACGAGAGACACUGCAACCCCAGAUGAUCGUUUCAGCCUUGUUAGGCAUCAUCAUAUAGGCAUAGCUGAUAUCUCCCUAGGCACCGUGAGCAAAGGGUCCACGUCUGGAUUAUCCCUUUAAACUUGUGGAGAGAAAAAAAUGGGUCGCAAGAGUAUACUGGGAACGUGCGACAACUGAAAUAGCCUGCCCUUCGGAUUGGCUACCUCCUCCAUCUCCUCUUCCACCUACACCGCCAUGGUCAUCGCCUCCUCAACCUCCUACUCCACAUCUACCUCCUCCUCCUCCUAGUUCAAGAUUAUUAUUUUUAGUUUUUAUGUAUUUUAUGUUAUUUUAAGUUAGCCCUCUAGCCCUUUCCAGGACUUUUUUAGAGCCAUUUUUUGUGCACAAAAGUUUGGGUCCCCAUUGACUUCAAUGGGGUUCGGGAGUGACGUUCGGGUCAAGUUCGGUCCUGAACUCAAACUUUUUGCCAAAGUUUGGCCGAACCCGCCGAACCCAAACAUCCAGGUGUCCGCUCAACUCUAGUGUCAAAGUGUUAUUGAGCAUAUUGUAACUGGGCUUUUUUGUGACAUUGGUGCAGUAGAGGCUUCUUUCUGGCAACUCCACAAUGCAGCUCAUUUUUGUACAAGUAUCGUCGUAUUGUGCUCCUUGAAACAAACACAUCAUCUUUUUCCAGAGCAACCUGUAUUUCUCCUGAGGUAACCUUAGGGUUUUUCUUUGUAUCCCAAACAAUUCUUCUGGCAGCUGUGGCUAAAAUCUUUCUUGGUCUACAUGACUUUAGCUUGGUAUCAAGAGAUCCACACAUUUUCUUGAUAAGUGAACAGUACUAACUGGCAUUUUCAAGGCUUUGGAUAUAUUUUUUACAUCUUUAUAAAGUCCCACCACCUUGUUACACAGGUCUUUUGACAGUUAUUUUUUGCUCCCCAUGGCUCAGUAUGUAGCCUGCUUAGUGCAUCCACGUGAGAGCUAACAAACUCAUUGACUAUUUAUAUACAGACACGAAUUGCAAUUUAAAAAGCCACAGGUGUGCGAAAUUAGCCUUUGAUUGCCAUUUUAACCUGUGUGGGUCACCUUGUGUGUCUGUAACAAGGACAAACAUUCAAAUGUAUGCAAACUUUUAAUCAGGGCCAUUUGGGUGAUUUCUGUUAUCAAUAUGAUUUAAAAAGGAGCCAAACAGAUAGGUCUCGGGCAUAGUCAAACCCGAAACACUGAUACCCCGCACUGGUACAAAUACAAUGACAGCUUGAAGAAGAUAAAAUCUCGAUGAAUCUGCAAUUGUAUAUAUGUAUAUCCAUCAUAAACAGACUUCCUUCUGGCACAAUACUUCAGCAGUCACUUGAACAUGCCUAAAUGGCGUGCUACUGGGUGCCAAUAAGUACAGUAAAAAUGAAAAUCCAGUGCACUCCCUUAUCUACUAGACAGCUACUUUGGUGCUGACAGAUUUUGCUAGUCUUAUUAAAAGCACCUAAUCUAGACAAAAAAAUAAUGGGGGUUUAGUUACAUUAUAUGAUCAUACAUUGCACAAGCCUGCCACAGAGUGAAUGUACCCCAUCUUUGGCAGGUCCUACUCUAACAGCCAACUGUCUACUAAAUGAGCUACUCACUUAGGGAAAUCCUUCCAUCUCGAGUUCUCUGCAGUACAAGGCUAAACAGGGUCCUGAGAUGAGACACCUGUGACAGGGAAUGGUGCAAAACCAAGGAGCUGGCUUGACUCCUAAAUAUAUAUAUAUAUAUAUAUAUAUAUAGAAAACAAGAAGGGGUUGGCUGCACUCACCUUAACAUGCAUAAAUGGGGGUGCUGCUGGGGGCCAAAUAAUACAAUACACAAGAUCCAGCGCACUCGCCUAUCCACUAAACAGCAACUUCAAUGUUGAAAGAUUUUAUUUGUUUUUUUAAAAACACCUAAUCUAGGCAAAAAUAAUGGGGGUUUAGUUACAUUAUAUGAUCAUACAUUGCAUAAGCCUGCCACAACGUCAAUGUACCCCAUCUUUGGCAGGUCCUACACUAACAGCCUAAUGUCUGCUCUUAUGAGAUUAACCUACUUGGGGAAAAAAUUCCAUCUGGGGCUCUCUGCAGUACAAGGCUAAAUAGGGCCCUGGGAUGAGGCACCUGUGACAGGGAGGGGUGCAAAACCAAGGAGUUGGCUAGACUCCCAAAUAUAUAUAAAACAAGAGGGGGUUGGCUGCACUCACCUUAACAUGCAUAAAUGGGGGUGCUGCUGGGGGCCAAAUAAUACAAUACACAAGAUCCAGCGCACUCACCUAUCCACUAAACAGCAACUUCAAUGUUGAAAGAUUUUAUUUGUUUUUUUAAAAACACCUAAUCUAGGCAAAAAUAAUGGGGUUUAGUUACAUUAUAUGAUCAUACAUUGCAUAAGCCUGCCACAACGUCAAUGUACCCCAUCUUUGGCAGGUCCUACACUAACAGCCUAAUGUCUGCUCUUAUGAGAUUAACCACUUACUUGAGGAAAAAAAUCCAUCUGGGGCUCUCUGCAGUACAAGGCUAAAUAGGGCCCUGGGAUGAGGCACCUGUGACAGGGAGGGGUGCAAAACCAAGGAGUUGGCUAGACUCCCAAAUAUAUAGAAAACAAGAAGGGGUUGGCUGCACUCACCUUAACAUGCAUAAAUGGGGGUGCUGCUGGGGGCCAAAUAAUACAAUACACAAGAUCCAGCGCACUCGCCUAUCCACUAAACAGCAACUUCAAUGUUGAAAGAUUUUAUUUGUUUUUUUUAAAACACCUAAUCUAGGCAAAAAUAAUGGGGGUUUAGUUACAUUAUAUGAUCAUACAUUGCAUAAGCCUGCCACAACGUCAAUGUACCCCAUCUUUGGCAGGUCCUACACUAACAGCCUAAUGUCUGCUCUUAUGAGAUUAACCUACUUGGGGAAAAAAAUUCCAUCUGGGGCUCUCUGCAGUACAAGGCUAAAUAGGGCCCUGGGAUGAGGCACCUGUGACAGGGAGGGGUGCAAAACCAAGGAGUUGGCUAGACUCCCAAAUAUAUACAUAAAACAAGAGGGGGUUGGCUGCACUCACCUUAACAUGCAUAAAUGGGGGUGCUGCUGGGGGCCAAAUAAUACAAUACACAAGAUCCAGCGCACUCACCUAUCCACUAAACAGCAACUUCAAUGUUGAAAGAUUUUAUUUGUUUUUUUAAAAACACCUAAUCUAGGCAAAAAUAAUGGGGGUUUAGUUACAUUAUAUGAUCAUACAUUGCAUAAGCCUGCCACAACGUCAAUGUACCCCAUCUUGGCAGGUCCUACACUANNNNNNNNNNNNNNNNNNNNNNNNNNNNNNNNNNNNNNNNNNNNNNNNNNNNNNNNNNNNNNNNNNNNNNNNNNNNNNNNNNNNNNNNNNNNNNNNNNNNGACCUGCCAAAGAUGGGGUACAUUGACGUUGUGGCAGGCUUAUGCAAUGUACGAUCAUAUAAUGUAACUAAACCCCCAUUAUUUUUGCCUAGAUUAGGUGUUUUUAAAAAAACAAAUAAAAUCUUUCAACAUUGAAGUUGCUGUUUAGUGGAUAGGCGAGUGCGCUGGAUCUUGUGUAUUGUAUUAUUUGGCCCCCAGCAGCACCCCCCAUUUAUGCAUGUUAAGGUGAGUGCAGCCAACCCCCUCUUGUUUUAUAUAUAUUUGGGAGUCUAGCCAACUCCUUGGUUUUGCACCCCUCCCUGUCACAGGUGCCUCAUCCCAGGGCCCUAUUUAGCCUUGUACUGCAGAGAGCCCCAGAUGGAAUUUUUUUCCCCAAGUAGGUUAAUCUCAUAAGAGCAGACAUUAGGCUGUUAGUGUAGGACCUGCCAAAGAUGGGGUACAUUGACGUUGUGGCAGGCUUAUGCAAUGUAUGAUUAUAUAAUGUAACUAAACCCCCAUUAUUUUUGCCUAGAUUAGGUGUUUUUAAAAAAAACAAAUAAAAUCUUUCAACAUUGAAGUUGCUGUUUAGUGGAUAGGCGAGUGCGCUGGAUCUUGUGUAUUAUAUAUAUAUAUAUAUAUAUAUUUUUUUUUUUUUUUUUUAAACAAGGGGCUGGCUGCAUUCACCUGAACAUGCUUAAAUGGGGUGCUGCUGGGGGUCAAUAAGUACAGUAAAAAUUAACAGGAUUUUUACCCCAUUUAAGCAUGUUCAGGUGAGUGCAGCCAGUCCAUUGUUUAUAUAUAGCGGAGAGCUAGAAUUUCAUAGCCUACCUCCACUUGUAGUUCCCAGUGAGGCUCAGGAGCAAGUAAUUAUAAAUCCAUAGGCAAGGUAUCCAGCAGGUAAAACAAUACAGCAGUAUCCCAACAGCACUCCCAAUAACUGGACGACACACAGUAUCAGGAGUAGAACUAAAGAUUUAUUCAGACAGUGGCCUUAUAAAGCAUGCUCCCAUGCAAGGGAGGGAUUUCCAUUCAUUAGUACAGUAGCCAAUCCUGUUUUGGUAACCUCCCACACAUCUCCUCCCCUCAGCCUGCAUCAUAAUCCCCUUAUCCAGGACACCAUUUCCCCACGUUUCUGGAUGUUCCCCUAAACCUAGGGGUACCGCUUUAAAUUAUACAUGCUGUUCGGCUAAUUCUCACAAAAUCCUUAUGUGACGAAUUGCCCUUCGCCACUUGGUCCUGGAGAGGCCUGCUUGCCAGCCUCCUCCCCUGUGACUAUGACUCUUUGAUGUAAUUGGCUUUAAAGCCCCUAUUCUACCUUCAGACAGACUAUUUAUGUAGGUUGCUUUAUUUCUCUUAUGUUUUAGUCACCCUGUACCCAUUAUAGGUGCAGGGUGUGUGUAAUGUAAUUGUUUAUAGUGUGUGUGUGUACUGUUAAAUGUAUUGCCUGCUCUCCUGUACUGCUGAGGUUUGCUACCAACUAGGUGGAUUUGGCUAUGGAGCUUGUCUAGUGCCCUCUGUUGGUAGCAACAGCAAUAUGCACUACCUGAAUAGCAAGACUGGUUAAUUUGCAUAUUCGGGUAGAUUUGCAUAUUGCUAAUUCUGCAGGCACGUGAUAUAUUUUUUGUNNNNNNNNNNNNNNNNNNNNNNNNNNNNNNNNNNNNNNNNNNNNNNNNNNNNNNNNNNNNNNNNNNNNNNNNNNNNNNNNNNNNNNNNNNNNNNNNNNNNUACCCUAUCCCCCUCGUCACUGAGUUGUUUGAUCGUGUUAAAGGUUCUAAAUUCUUCACCAAAUUAGACCUCAGGGGGGCUUAUAACCUUGUCCGUAUAAAGGAGAAUGACGAGUGGAAGACAGCGUUCAACACAUGCAAUGGGCAUUACGAAUAUCUGGUCAUGCCUUUUGGACUGUGUAAUGCUCCUGCCGUGUUUCAGGACCUCAUAAAUGAUGUCUUUAGGGAUCUAUUGCAUGUCUGUGCUGUGGUGUACCUUGACGACAUACUUGUGUAUUCUCCUGAUUUGAAGUUACACCAUAACCAUGUUAGGAUGGUGCUCAAAAGGCUAUUACAGAACGGACUCUACUGUAAGUUAGAAAAAUGUUUAUUCGAUCAGACCUCUGUGCAAUUCCUAGGAUAUAUCAUUACUGAACAGGGUUUCAGUAUGGAUCCUGCUAAAUUGGAAGCUAUACUGUCCUGGCCACUUCCCCAAGGACUGAAGGCUAUCCAGCGUUUUAUAGGAUUUGCCAACUAUUAUAGGAAAUUUUUAAAAAACUUUUCACCACUUAUCUCUCUUAUAACAAAGCUGACAAAAAAAGGCCUACACCCUAGGGUUUGGACUCCUGAAGCCCUUAAGGCCUUCGAAACCCUCAAGAAGGCAUUUGCCUCUGCUCCAGUGCUGCACCACCCUGAUCCUUCUCUUCCCUUUGUUAUGGAAGUAGACGCUUCAGAGUCGGGUGUGGGAGCAGUACUGUCACAGAGGUUGUCGUAUGACAAACCCCUCCAUCCCUGUUGUUAUUUUUCUAAAAGGUUGUCUGAUCCAGAGAAGAAUUACGAUGUUGGGAACAGGGAACUAUUAGCUAUUGUGUUAGCUUUUAAGGAAUGGAGGUACUUAUUAGAGGGCUCUAGACACAAAAUUAUGGUUAUAACAGAUCAUAAGAACCUCUCCUAUAUAGCUGAUGCUAGAAGGUUAUCUGCCCGGCAGGCUAGAUGGUCUCUAUUUCUCUCACGCUUCCAAUAUGUUAUUACCUAUAGACCUGGUUGCCGUAAUGCCAAAGCUGACGCUAUCUCUCGACAGCAUGAACCAGUAGAAUUUGUUAACCCGCCUCCUGAACCUAUUGUACCUGCGUCUCAGAUAAUAGCUGCUACCCAUUUGGUUGUUUCUUCACCUACCAAACCCAAGCACCCCCUGAGACGCCGGUUGGUAAACUAUACGUUGAAGCAAAUGACAGAAAAAAGUUGUUAACUUUAUUUCACACCGCCAAAACUGCUGGUCAUCCGGGGGUUACCAAAACCUACAAGGGCCUCCUUCAACAGUUCUGGUGGCCUUCACUCAAGCGAGACAUAGUGGAUUUUGUUCAGGCUUGUCGGGUCUGUACGCAGUGUAAGUCCCUUAAUGUGAGACCCCAGGGUUUACUGAUGCCUCUAUCUAUACCCAAGAAACCAUGGACCCACUUAUCCAUGGAUUUCAUUGUAGACCUUCCUCUUUCUGAUGGUCAGACGGUGAUACUGACUGUGACGGAUAGGUUCUCUAAAAUGGCGCACUUUAUUUCGCUUAAGAAACUGCCUUCUGCGGUUCAGUUAGCUCAGGUGUUUGCCAAAGAAGUGUUCCGCUUGCAUGGGGUACCUCAGGAUAUCGUAUCUAACAGGGGUCCUCAAUUUGUCUCUCAGUUUUGGAGGGGCUUUUGUGCUGAGAUGGGGGUCUCCUUGUCGUUCUCUUCCUCCUAUCACCCGCAAUCUAAUGGUGCGGCUGAACGUGCUAAUCAGUCUGUGGAAUUGUAUUUGCGCUGCUUCACUAAUGCGCACCAGGAUGACUGGUCUCGCCUCCUUCCGUGGGCUGAAUUUGCCAGGAAUACGGUGUCUCAUUCGUCUACUGGCUUAAGUCCUUUUGAGGUUGCUUAUGGGUUUCGACCUUCUGUCCUUCCCGGUGCGUUCUCCGACAAGGGAAUGCCCGCCUUGGACCAGCACCUCGCCUCUUUGCGGAAGACGUGGGAUCAGGUCCAUGUUGCGCUGUCUCGUUCAGCAGCUGCUCAGAAAAAGUUUGCUGAUCGCCGUAGGGUUGCGGCCCCUUCUUAUGUUCCAGGUUAUAGGGUUUGGUUGUCCUCCAGGAACCUCCGUCUCAAGGUUCCCUCGAUUAAAUUUGCUCCCAGGUUUCUUGAUCCCUACAGGGUGUUACGUAGGGUUAACCCCGUUUCCUACUCCCUUGACCUGCCUCCUUCCAUGCGUAUCCCGAACACGUUUCACGUCUCGCUUUUGAAGCCCUUGCUGUGUAACCAGUUCUCUCGUCCCCUCGGGCGGCCCGUUUCCCCUCGCGCUGUCUCUAGCGACGUGUACGAGGUGGCUGCCCUUCUCGAUUCUCGUGUUUCUAGGGGUCGGCUGCAAUAUUUGGUGGAUUGGAAGGGGUACGGCCCUGAGGAGCGGUCUUGGGUUUCGAGCUCUGAUAUGCACGCUCCCUCUUUGGUCCGCUCCUUUCAUGCCCGGUUUUCUUUGAAGCCUUCAGCUUCCCGCCCUCCGGGUGGUCUUCGAGGGGGGGUAAUGUCGGGAUCCCGCGGGCAGCUGCGAGGGGAGGCUGCACUCCGCUCGCGGUACUCACCCUCCAGCCGUCCGCGGUCCCCUCCUCCUCGUGGGGUCGGCGAGCGACAUCCUUCCACCCUCGGAUGCCGCCUGCCGUUUCCUCCACGUCCCCCAGCGGCAGCAUGCAUGACGCUGCACGCUGGGAGACCGCCCAAAUUAUUACACGCCGGGGUCAGUCACCUGACCCGGCGUUAAAGGCACAGUGCCUCAAUCACAGUGGGAGGUUUAGAUAUCUCCCACGUGUGAUUGUUAAUUCUGAUUGGAAAUUAUCCAAUCAGAAUUAACCUUAUGGUUUAAAUACUUAGCUUUCCUGUUCCUCCCUGCCCUGUUGUGGUCUUUGCUUACUAGUAUUGCUACUUACCUUGUGUUUCUGGUUACGUACUCUCUGGCUUGUUUAUCUGACUCUGUGACUUUCUCCUACCCUUUGACCUCGGCUCGUUUCACGUUAUUCUGUCUUCUGGUUCCCCUUACUCGGCUUGUCUCCUGACUAUUCUGUGUGUGCUUAGCCCGGCCACUCUAAGGUCCGGUACGGCACCUUUUCUGUGUGUGUGUGUGUGUGUGCCAGCGUGUUGGGUUCCCCGAAUCGUGACAGCCUUCUAAUAUGUCACGUUUAAGGUUUUGGGGAAUGAGAUGUACUGGAUUAAUGAUGUUAGUACUUUUAGUGGGUAGAGGAUUAGAGUUACCUCCUGUGUUUGGUUCUGGCUGAGCUAUGGGAAUUUGGACAUCCGGGAUGAUUGUUUGGUUAUUGGAUUUCAGAUUAGCCAACCGGUUGUUAAUAGUGGCUACAGAAGUCACUAGAGAGAUCAUGUUAUGUAGUUCUGACAAACUGUUUUGCAUACUACAUUCAGAACUAGUGCCAGACCUUUCAUUAUCAUUGUGCGUGUUUAACAAGAAAAAUAGUUCAGCUUUCCUGGCUGUAGCAGGAAAUGGAAUGUUCUUCCUUUUAAGUUCAGCUGUAAUUUUUGGAAUUGUCCAAAAUCUGUAGUUGGACACUGGGCUGGCUACAACGGCUUGCCUCGUCUUGAAAUUAGAUCUGGUCGGGUGCUGGUAAGCGGCAGGUCAUCUCCUUGUAGUAAAGCGUGAGCCAUGCUAUGGGUGUGAAGUAGAUGACUUGAUUAAUAUGAUAUCCUAAUAGGUGUGAAGUAACCCAGCUCACUAGAUUUAAUACCUUAGGUUGUCUUCUUUUAAAAAAAUAUGUACAUGUGUAGGGUUAUUCAGGGAUUCCUGACAGAUAUCAGUGUUACAAUAUAACUUGUGUUAAUUUUGAAAAAAAUGGUUUGGAAAUAGAAAAGUGAUACUUGUACUUAUAGCCCUAUAACUUUCCCAAAAAAUUAAGAACAUGUUAACAUUCGGCAUUUCUAAACUCAGGACAAAAUUUCGAAACUAUUUAGCACGGGUGUUUUUUGGCGGUAGUAGAUGCGUAAAAGAUUUUGGCGGUCAAAGUUCGAAAAAGUGGGGGGUAUUUUUUUUACAUUUUUUUCAUCAUAUUUUAUAAAAAAAAUUUUUAUAGUAAAUUAGAUGGUAUGAUGGAAAUAAUGGUAUCUUUAGAAAGACCAUUUAACGGCGAGAAAAACAGUAUAUAAUGUGUUGGUACAGUAAAUGAGUAAGAGGAAAAUUACAGCUAAACACAAACACAGCAGAAAUGUAAAAAGAGCCCUGGUCCUUAACGGUAGGAAAAUUGAAAAACAGUCUGGUCACUAAGGGGUUAAACUAUAAUGUGGGAAAGAGAAACAAAUUUCACUCCUAGGGAAUGGAGAGAAAAUAAAUACUCGAACGGAACCUUCAUACGAAUUUAGAAAAAAAAUUAGAAAUGUGGUUUUAUUUACAGUUUUUGCUAAAAUAAUGUGUGUAUAAUUAGUGCAGGUUAAAAAAGUAAUUAAAAAUAAAUUCAUUUAGUUGUUCUGACUUACAGAAUAUAUAGUGUGUCUGGGAUUUUAAGGUUUGUUUAGUAGUUACAGGUCACAAAGCACAAGGCAUAAAAUAAACUUUUAAUGUGGAGCGAUUUUAGAAUUUGGUAUGUUUGUCUUGUAAGCUUAAUAGCCAAAAAAGAAAACAAAAUUGCCACACAAGUAUAUAUUUAUAUAAAGAAAACAUCACAGGCUAUUGUCCUAAGGUUGUUUUGACACUUUCUAUGUAGCCAUUUCACCGCCAAUCUCUGCUAAAUAUUUAAGUAUAAUUGUGGGUAUAUAUAUUUUGCAAAUCUUAUGUGUGCUAUGACUGUAUAAUACUACAUAUGUUGCUCAGCUAUGUUGCCUGAGUACAGCAAUACCCCUGUAUGUACCUUUGCCAGGUAUAUGUGGAUGUUGAAGGGGCAAAUUUGAGACGCAGCCAUUCAGUUUUUUUCUAACUUUGAAGUUUUACGCUAUGUCCAUGUUCCAUUUUGGAGUAGUUUAGUUGGUUGGUUAUUGAAACUUCCACACAAAUACAUACUAUUUAUUAAAGAAUACACCCUGGGGUAAUUCAAAAGGCUUAUUGUGAACUUUAGCGCAGGAUCAUUUUUUCUCUAGUUUGUUCCAGGUGUAAUGGUAAUGAGCAUUUUUAAAUGUAUUUUUUUUUUACUCUUUAAAAAGUUUUUUAAACUUUUUUUUGCUUAUUUUUUUAAACUUUCUUAAAUCUUUUUUUUUAAACAGAUUUAACAUUAUUAUAAGCUUUAUUUUUAUUUUUUUUUUAUUUUUUUUACUGUUAACCCCUCACUAGCAGUAAGCAGCACUAACGGUAAAUUUCCCAUAACUCCCACCCACCCCAGCUAACAAAAUACAUCAUGUUAAAAUAUUUAAACAAUUAAAUAAAUUGAACCCCUAAGGGUUAAAAAUAAAAUCGGAUCACAGUACAAUACUGUGAUCUGUAUUUUGAUCACUGUAGGUAGUGAUCAACUGGCAGGGAAGGGGUUAAUUUUUAUUUGGAAUGGGCAAGGAGGGUGGAAUUUUUUAAUUUAAAAAAAAAAAAAUUAUUAAAACAUUUUUUCAACUCUUAAAACUUUCUUUUUUACUUUUUAACGUUAACCCCUAGUUAGCCUAACACCACAUUCACCAAUUCCCUACUAACUUCCACCCACCCCAGCUAGCUAAAUAUAUUAUUUUAAUAUAUUUAAAUUCAUUUAAAAAAUGAGAUCACAGUUAAAUGUAUACCCUGCCAUUUGAUUACUGUAGUCAGUGAUCAAUUGGUAGGGAAGGGGUUAAUUUUUUUAUUAAAAUGCGUAAAGGGGGGUGGGAUUUUAAAUUAACUUUAUUUUAUUUUUUUAACAGGGACAAGAGCAGGUGUGAUCCGCCUCCCUGAACUUCGCAUAGAACCAGGAAGUGCAGAGAGACGGAAGAUAAGUAUCUGCAGCACAUGUCAGCAUGUCAGAGCGAGCACUGCUGCAGGGGCAGCCCGAUCAGGUGCUCCCGUUCUGCCUCUAAUACAGAGGCAGACCGGAGCACCGUUAACCCCGCAAUCGCCGCGAUCUGGGGUUAAUUUUAACGUAUGACAGACGAGGUCCGUCGCCCGUCGUUAAGAGUCUCCCCUGAAUGGGUUAAUAUAGCAUUAGACACAACAAACCUAUAACACAUGUGUCAAUCAUGACACAGACGGGCAGUCACGAGCUCGUUUUCUGUAACCUAUGGCUGGUCUGUGUGCCUGGCAUUUUCACAAACAUUAGUCCUGGAAAUUGGAUACUCUCUUCUUGGACAGUGUCAUAGAACUUAUGCAUGGAGACAGGGAUGAAUAAAAUAAUUUGAGCAAACAAGGACAUAGGAUUUUGUAAAACAGUUCAUGUGUGCAGGGCCUUAUGUGUGUUUUGUGGUUACUUGUCAAAGUAUCCUGCUCUGGAUGUAUUUAACCUACUCACAUCACUCUCCGCUUCAGUAUUUCUUCUCAUUAGAACAAUUCAUGUAUUCAGGGACUUUUGUGUGUUUUGUGGUCACAUUCCGUUUACCAGUAUGCAACAAUCUAAACACCAUACUAUCAGUGAAAUAUAGGUAAAAAGUAACAUAGCUUGAAAUCAAAAUACAGCCUCUCAAGAUCACUAUACACACAAAAUGACCUUCACAAUGUAUAGAAAACCAGAAACAAAUAUACGGGAUAUGGCUGAGCAAAUCUAUAAAGGAACAAAGAAAGCAAAAUAGUGUAAUACAGUAUAUACAAUAAAUCAUGCGCUGUACAAAAUUGCACUCACGAGAUAGCGAAGAGUUAAGCGCUCAUAGGGUACCUCCCCCGAUGGUGUGGGGGGCUACAAAUCCCCUUGUUACUGCAGGAUGACCAAUGGUACACAGGACUUCAAAUGGAUGAGAGUUAAAAAUCCACUUUUUUUAUUGUUUAAAAGAUGAAUAAUCACCAUUCAGAAUAGGAUAAAAAAUACAAGCGGUAGGUCCUACGCAUUUCGUUCCACUAAGGAACUUCUUCAGUGACCGCAGUAACAAUAAAAUCAAACACAGUAUUACACAGUGUAAAAAUAACAUAUCCUACCCCCAUUCCACAAUCCCUUUAAAAAGGGCUAUUCCCUGUGUCCAUUGGUGGAUCAGUGGGUGUUUCCAUCAAUCUGUCUCCUCAUUGGUGUAAAGACGAUCUUCCUCAGCUGUUUAUACUACUUGUAACUUCAUUUCAAUCAAAGUUUGCGCGUUCGAGAAAACCGGAAGUAAGCAUAGUAUUCUACUUCCGCGUUCCAAGUGCGUUCCACAUGCGUGUCACCCUCACAUUCGUGUAAUUGGAGAGUGCCAGACCUUCUAAUACAUCGUUGGUGGGCAACAUAAAUAUACAAAGCAGUGCACAUCUACUUAAAUAAAGAAUAUAUUAGUGUUGGAACAAAAUAACCAAAAAAUAAAUAUUUAGCUAAGUACAGUUGAAAGGAUAGUGAAAACCACCAGGUAUAUUCUAUUAUUUUUAACCAAGUGUACUACUAUCUUAAAUGCACUUAAUAAAGUGCUAUCGUACAAUAAUUAAAGUGACAGGUGCAUUAGAACACUUGUAAGAUAUUGAAUAUGUGAAACUGAUAGGAAAUACAAUAAAAAAUAGUGGAAACCACAAUGUAUGCUCUAUUAUUUAUACUACAUUGUGCAAUCAUCUUCGAUCCACAUCACAAGAUGUAAUCAUCAGUUAUUAAAGUGACAAGUGCUUAGAACAUUGGUGAAAAUAUUGAAUUUUAUAAUACAAUGUGAUACUGUUCCCCCCCAAAAAAUAGAAAUAAAUUGAAAUCGAAAAAAAUAAAAGGAUCCAAUUACUGGAUCAGCACACAUACCGAUGUCUGGAUAAAAAAGUGUAUCUAUAAAUGGCUAACACAAAAAGAUGAUAAAGAACCAAUUUAUUCCCUUUGACAGAUGGUUUGAACCAUGGUAUAAUGUAACAACAUUCAAAGAGAAUAAAGUAAUGCCAAGCAAAUCCAACUUAUUAGAUACAUUAACCCCCUUUAUGGGGUGGUGUGUGUGUGUGUGUGUAUGUGUAUAUAUUGUGAUCCUUGUUUGCAGGUAGCACGGUCCUCUAGGGCAAAAACAUGCACAGUCCUUGUAAUUGCAUAUACUCAGGCACUUUAUUUUGUAAAUCCACACAGGAUACAGCAGUAAAUGAAAACAAAAGUAACAGAAAACCCUAUAAACAAAAACCUAGCUCGUCUGAACACUAACUGACAUUAGUUCCCUAUCUCUCAGGGUUAAUCUAAACACAAUAUUGCACCAACCUUAUUAGAGAGCAACGCUCUGCUAGCUAGCCUGUUGCUUUCCUUUCUGCACUCCCAGUGCUCCAAGCCAGCCUUGCCCUGACUGCUUUCCUUUCUGCACUCCCAGUGCUCCAAGCCAGCCUUGCCUUGACUGCUUCCUUUCUGCACUCCCAGUGCUCCAAGCCAGCCUUGCCCUGACUGCUUCCUUUCUGCACUCCAAGUGCCUAGUCUCCUUGACUAUCUGGAGAGAACAGCCUCUCUCUCCUACCUGCUUCCUGGGAGGAAGCCAGCAAUCCCUCUCCUUUACCUGCCUAGCAGGUUGGAUUUUAUUCCCACUGCAACAGCUCAUUAACUGCAGCUGAGCAGUGGGUUGGAGAGGAUCCAAAAAACCCUGGCCUGGAUCCAUGUCUCCCCAGAAAACCACUAAACUGUGGAGUGGAGCAUUGACCCACCCUUCUCUCCAAAUGCUCCACCACAGGGGCCCAUAACUAAACAGCGUUUUGUGUUGCCUACAACACAUCCUACACAUACUCCCCCUGGGGUUAAAAGGCCUAUCUGCCUUCACUUUAUCACAAUAUAUAUAUAAUGUAUAUGUAAUACAUUCUCACGAUAUUAGAUGGAAUAUUUACAGAUAAUCAACCCCUAGUUUCCAAAGUAUUAAGUCUAUGUAUCC